AUACAUUAAAAAAAAAAGAUUGAUAGAAUUUAAAUUAAUUUUAUAUUUUAUAAAAUUUAAUUGCGAGAAUUAUCAAAAUAUCGUUGACUUGCUCAAAUCUAACAUAUAAAGAAUUGGAUAAAAAAAAUUGAAAGAUUGGAUUUACACUUUCAUCCUUAAAAUAAAAAUAUAGGACGAAUAAUACUUUAAUCCCCACAUUUUAAUGUAUUAUGAUUUAAAUAAUGAGGUAUGUGAUAUUUUUAUUCUCAAAUUUUAAUUAGUUGUUUAUUUUUCGAUUGUUUAUAUUAUAUAAAUUUUUAACUCUUUGUUUUGUUAUUUUUAAAUUUAUUUAUUUAUUUAUUUCUAUGAAGUCGUUCCGCCGCAACGCGCGGGUCCUUCACUAGUUAUAGAUUAAUUAAUUUCUUCAACACCCUCCUAAAAGAUUAUAAUUUUAUAAAUAUUCCUUCGAAUUAGAAAAAAUUAUCUGUGCUCUUAUACACAUCAAAGACUAUACCGGUUUUGGUUUUGGUUUGAAAUUUAGAGGGACAUUUGCAUAUUUUGAGAGGUAUGGAUGAUAAAUUUGUGUGUUUAGGAGGGAAUGAAUGACAUUUUACAUUUUGAAGGAACAUGUAUGAUAUUUUAAAAUUUUAGAAGGUUAUGUUUGAAUCGAACACUGUGGAGCCUUUAUUUAUUUAUUUAUUUAUUUCUCUCUUUUCUUGGUAAGAAUCUAUUGAACAGUUCUGAUGAUGACUACGUUCAAUGCGACUAAUUGUCAAUAAUAAUAUCAAGUUUGCUUACGUCACCAUCCGACCAAAUUAGGUGGCAAUAUGUUCAUCGAAAUCUGCACACAUUUUCCUCAUGAUUUAGUCACCAUUCGAAAUCAGUUAGGAACAUGUCCAUUUUCUUUCUUACAGUUCUAUUGAUUCAUAACAUCCAGGUUCAUGCUUCCUCAAAGGAUGAUAUACUGUUUCUUUCCCUUUUCUAUUAUUUUUGCAAUUUGCGAUACUACAUGAAAAUUUGUUUUUAAUAUCAAAUAAGUAUUAUAUGGAUCGACUAAUUGGUAAAUUUUCUUCAAAUUGUCUUCACUUGGUGGUAAAUCUGAUAGUAAAUUAUUCGAUCUGUAUUUAUGACUUGUACGUGUUAUAUUGUGCAUCAGAGCUAUUGUGUUAUAUUGGGCUUCAUUGGGCCCCAUGACCCGCUUAGUUGGGCUAAUCCGUUCUUCAAUGUACAAGGCCUAAAGUUUCUAGUAUUAAAAGUGGGCUGUAGAUCUUUAAAUUAGGGCCCACUCUACCAUUUUCUAUUGAGCGCUGAUAAAUGCUAUAUAGUCAAUAGGAUUUUGAGAGGACCGUAGAUAUGCUUAAGGCCCAUUUUUAUAGUUUAAUAGUUAUGCUUAUAUAUAUAUAUUUUUUUUCAGUAGGACCGUAUCGCUUACCACAAUGUUAUUAUAUGUAUCUCUUAUUUAGUUGUUUUAAGACUCACAAGCCUGGGGCAUGGAUCCUUUUUAUAAAAGUGUUAGAGGAAAUUUAACUUGUGACAUUUGGGAUGGUAAUAAAGUUGUUGUUUGUGAGAUACUAGAUGUUUGCAUUUGCUGCUUUCCGAACUGAAAAUUAUCAGUAACUACUACCUUGGAGAAAGUAAACAUCGAUCUCUCCCUCACACGCACGCAAUGCGUGCGUGCACACACAUCUUUUACUACAUAUUAUAUAGACAUGUAUCGGGGGGUGUGGUUGAACUGAUAGUGUUAUGUUCAAUACUUGCAAAAUAUGAUUUGAGUACCAAGGUAUCAGGACAAGUUUGGGAAGCUUAUUAUC
This 1790-nucleotide long non-coding RNA is filed under the name Ananas comosus (pineapple). RNAcentral's name for it is "long non-coding RNA (ACOM_LNC004601)". The record is from RNAcentral. Lineage: Eukaryota; Viridiplantae; Streptophyta; Magnoliopsida; Poales; Bromeliaceae.